ACGAGAAUAUGGCUGUCUCACUACCAGCAAUGAAAAUUAACCUUCAAGUGAAGAGGCUUGAAUUGUAUAAAAAGACGAAAAGACCCUAUGGAGCUUUACUUACAUAGAGAACGAGGCACAAUAAAAAAACUGCCAAACUCCUAAAUAGUUCAGUUGGGGCGACUGAGGAGCACUAUUAAAGCCCCCUCAACACACAAGAAAAUAAAUCUAUWAAAAAUCCACAAACGUGAAUAAAGAAUCAGCUACCCUAGGGAUAACAGGCUAAUCCUUCUCGAGAGCCCAAAUUGACAGAAGGGGUUGGCACCUCGAUGUUGGCUUAAGGUACCUCUAA
RNAcentral lists this ribosomal RNA (331 nucleotides) under Prionospio sp. 14 PB. RNAcentral's name for it is "partial 16S ribosomal RNA". The record is from RNAcentral. Lineage: Eukaryota; Metazoa; Annelida; Polychaeta; Spionida; Spionidae.